GAUCAUGGCUCAGGAUGAACGCUAGCUACAGGCUUAACACAUGCAAGUCGAGGGGCAGCACGGUCUUAGCUUGCUAAGGCCGAUGGCGACCGGCGCACGGGUGAGUAACACGUAUCCAACCUGCCGUCUACUCUUGGACAGCCUUCUGAAAGGAAGAUUAAUACAAGAUGGCAUCAUGAGUCCGCAUGUUCACAUGAUUAAAGGUAAUUCCGGUAGACGAUGGGAGUG
Molecule: ribosomal RNA, 228 nt
Filed under: uncultured bacterium
Lineage: Bacteria
Description: partial 16S ribosomal RNA
Rfam family: Bacterial small subunit ribosomal RNA
Source: RNAcentral